This is a small nucleolar RNA of Alosa sapidissima (American shad), 66 nucleotides long. The record is from RefSeq and is a predicted model, not a curated record. Lineage: Eukaryota; Metazoa; Chordata; Actinopteri; Clupeiformes; Clupeidae.
AUAACCAUGAUGAGAUUUACCGCCCCAGUCUGAGUUUAGCUGACUGAUUGGUUUCCCUGAUUUUUA